RNAcentral lists this ribosomal RNA (245 nucleotides) under uncultured bacterium. RNAcentral's name for it is "partial 16S ribosomal RNA". It matches the Rfam family "Bacterial small subunit ribosomal RNA", at positions 524 to 768 of the family's 1533-position model. The record is from RNAcentral.
GACGGAGGGAGCAAGCGUUGUCCGGAAUCACUGGGCGUAAAGAGCUCGUAGGCGGGAGCUUAAGUCUGAAAGUAAAUCCAACGGCUUAACUGUUGGGUCAUUUUGGAUACUGGGCUUCUUGAGGACAGAAGGGGAAAGGGGAAUUCCAGGUGUAGCGGUGAAAUGCGUAGAUAUCUGGAGGAACACCGGUGGCGAAGGCGCCUUUCUGGUCUGAUUCUGACGCUGAGGAGCGAAAGCCAGGGGAG